This 650-nucleotide ribosomal RNA is filed under the name Marisa cornuarietis. RNAcentral's name for it is "partial large subunit ribosomal RNA". It matches the Rfam family "Bacterial large subunit ribosomal RNA", at positions 1817 to 2828 of the family's 2925-position model. The record is from RNAcentral. Lineage: Eukaryota; Metazoa; Mollusca; Gastropoda; Architaenioglossa; Ampullariidae.
GGCUCUUUGUUGAGCUUUUAUAAAGAGUCAAGCCUGCCCAGUGAAAAAUUUAACGGCCGCGGUACUCUGACCGUGCGAAGGUAGCAUAAUCAUUUGCCUUUCAAUUGAAGGCUAGUAUGAAAGGUCUGACGAAAGCUAAGCUGUCUUUUAUUAAAUAAAAUGAAAUUGACUUUUAGGUGCAAAGGCCUAUAUUUAACUAAAAGACAAGAAGACCCUAUUGAGCUUUAAAACUUAAAAAGAGUAAAGCAUAUUGUAGUAAGAUUUUAAUUCUUUUAAACUUUUUAGUUGGGGCGACUUUGGAACAAUAGCAGCUUCCUAAAAUUAAAAAUACUUUUAGGUUUUGAUCCAAAAUAUUUUGACUAAUAGAAUUAGUUACCAUAGGGAUAACAGCAUAAUUCUUCUUAAGAGUUCUAAUCGAAAGAAGGGAUUGUGACCUCGAUGUUGGACUAGAAUAUCCUAAAGGUGCAGAAGUUUUUGAAGGUUGGUCUGUUCGACCAUUAAAAUUCUACAUGAUCUGAGUUCAGACCGGCGUGAGCCAGGUCAGUUUCUAUCUUUAGUUUUUUUAGCAGUUUUAGUACGAAAGGAUCAGACUGAAGAAGUAUAAAACUUUUUUCUUUGAUAAUGUAUAAUAGAGAUUUAAAUCUUAUUUU